UGGUGCCAGCAGCCGCGGUAAUUCCAGCUCCAAUAGCGUUUACUAAAUUGUUGCGGUUUAAAGCUCGUAGUUGCAUUUGUGCGCCGCGCUGUCGGUGCACCGCAUCCGCGGUGAUACUGACACGUUUGCGGAGCUAAUCGUCGGUCAGCCGGCGGUAUAACGCCGGUUCAAUAUCUUAAUCCUAUCGCGGUGCUCUUCAGUGAGUGUCGAGAAGGGCCGACAAUUUUACUUUGAACAAAUUAGAGUGCUCAAAGCGAGCUCAAAAUGCUGCUUGUAUAUUUCCUGCAUGGAAUAAUAGAAUAAGAUCUCGGUUCUAUUUUGUUGGUUUUCAGAACUCCGAGGUAAUGAUUAAUAGGGAUAACUGGGGGCAUUCGUAUUGCGACAUUAGAGGA
Molecule: ribosomal RNA, 392 nt
Filed under: Halpe dizangpusa
Lineage: Eukaryota; Metazoa; Arthropoda; Insecta; Lepidoptera; Hesperiidae
Description: SSU rRNA
Rfam family: Eukaryotic small subunit ribosomal RNA
Source: RNAcentral